UUAUUUUGCUCGAGGACUAGCAAAAUAUAGGUUUGGGGGUGUGAUAAGUGCUUAAUAAUUUAUAAUUUAGUUACCUUUCCAUAGCACUUAUCAAUAUUUUUAAACUGAUAAAUACAUAUUUUACCAUGAAAUUGAACAAACAUUGAAGUAAGUUUAAAAUAUGGUAAUUAUUCUCUUAAACUAGAUUCUGAACUUGUCUCUCUCUUGGUUGCAAUCUUUCAUGAAAACUACAAAAAAAUAUAUAAGAUUGUGUUGACCCGACUAAGGUUAUAACUAAAUGGGCUUUGGUCCUGAUUUGAUUGAAAGUUAUAAUUGUAUAGGAAAAU
This 326-nucleotide long non-coding RNA is filed under the name Phoenix dactylifera (date palm). Its description in RNAcentral is "long non-coding RNA (PDAC_LNC009662)". The record is from RNAcentral. Lineage: Eukaryota; Viridiplantae; Streptophyta; Magnoliopsida; Arecales; Arecaceae.